RNAcentral lists this ribosomal RNA (253 nucleotides) under uncultured bacterium. Its description in RNAcentral is "partial 16S ribosomal RNA". It matches the Rfam family "Bacterial small subunit ribosomal RNA", at positions 524 to 776 of the family's 1533-position model. The record is from RNAcentral.
UACGUAGGGUGCGAGCGUUAAUCGGAAUUACUGGGCGUAAAGCGUGCGCAGGCGGUUUUGUAAGACAGAUGUGAAAUCCCCGGGCUUAACCUGGGAACUGCAUUUGUGACUGUAAGACUAGAGUGCGGCAGAGGGGGGUAGAAUUCCACGUGUAGCAGUGAAAUGCGUAGAUAUGUGGAGGAAUACCGAUGGCGAAGGCAGCCCCCUGGUCCGGUACUGACGCUGAGGUGCGAAAGCGUGGGGAGCAAACAGG